UACGUAGGCAGCGAGCGUUGUUCGGAAUUACUGGGCGUAAAGAGUGUGUAGGCGGCGCUCUAAGUUCGGUGUGAAAUCCCUCGGCUUAACCGGGGAACUGCGUCCGAUACUGGAGGGCUUGAGUGUGGGAGAGGGAUGCGGAAUUCCAGGUGUAGCGGUGAAAUGCGUAGAUAUCUGGAGGAACACCGGUGGCGAAGGCGGCAUCCUGGACCAUGACUGACGCUGAGGAGCGAAAGCCAGGGGAGCAAACGGG
This 253-nucleotide ribosomal RNA is filed under the name uncultured bacterium. RNAcentral describes it as "partial 16S ribosomal RNA". It matches the Rfam family "Bacterial small subunit ribosomal RNA", at positions 524 to 776 of the family's 1533-position model. The record is from RNAcentral.